GGGGUUGUGGCUCAGCGGUAGAGCGCUUGCCUAGCACGUGUGAGGCACUGGGUUCGAUCCUCAGCACCA
This 69-nucleotide transfer RNA is filed under the name Marmota monax (woodchuck). It matches the Rfam family "tRNA". From Rfam's summary of the family: Transfer RNA (tRNA) molecules are approximately 80 nucleotides in length. Their secondary structure includes four short double-helical elements and three loops (D, anti-codon, and T loops). RNAcentral also lists the same sequence under 1 other name. The record is from Rfam by way of RNAcentral. Lineage: Eukaryota; Metazoa; Chordata; Mammalia; Rodentia; Sciuridae.